GGCAAUUUUUAAACCAGAGAAAUUUGGCACAGAAGUCCAGCAUUACUCCCCCACAGAAUGCAGUGAGCAACCAUGACUUAUAUGCAUAACAGAAUUGUCAAAGAUCUUGUUACAAAAGGAGUCUUCUGUAGGGUAACAGCAGCAGUGACCUGCAAAAAGCCUCUCUACAGGUUUGGAAUGCCCAGAUAGUCACUGCUUCUAAUAGCUGUAAAGUUGUAUCGAUGAGUUCCCCCAAAAGAUGGGGUGUUUUGGCUGUAACAAAUCCAUGCUCAUUGUGACCCUUUACCUUCUUAGGAAUACAGAAUCCUGGCACAUGUUCGCCUUUGGCCUCAUUCCCUACGGUCCGGAUAUCCCUGUGCAGGUCCUCGAUGAGAGCAAGCUGGUUCGCAGCGUCUAAUUUCUGCAGGAGAGAGAGGGAAGACAAAGAUGAGCCAACCAGCUGUGCUUUGCGAAUUCUUCUCAGGCAUUACCACUGUAACCUUUUUCGGCUGCCUCUCACCUUGGUGAUGGAAUUAAGCGCGUCCCAGCUCUCAUUCAAAACUACAGGGUUGGUGUCAUUAAACAGACGGAUCAAGCCUGAAACCAAGCUCUUCAGAUGACCGGUGUAAUCUGCUUUUGUCUUGGAGCAGUAGAUAUUCAGCAUGACAGCUGCUGCCUGUCUCAUUCCCAGCUCAGGGCUGCGGGUAGCUUCAAGUAAAUCUUCAGUUAUAAUUCUUUGUCCAGCGUCAUCUUCCACAGACAGGAUUACAGACUGGCAGUUUGCCAUCUCCUAAAGAGUCCAAAUUAACUUCACAUUAACUCUCAAAUAGAACAAAGCCAAAUUUAGCCCCUGGCUUCCCCAUGUUAUCCACAGCAUUAUGUCUUGGAGAGAUACUACAACAUACCCUGGUUGCUAAUCGUUUCUCAAUAAAUAGCUGGUCGUGUCACCAUUAAAGGCUCAACUCAGUCCUGGAGCAGAGCUAAGUGUAUAACCAACUCUCAAAAUCUAACAAGUGACCAAACUCUGUGGAACCGAUUGCUGAGCAGGUUGCUUUCCAGCUGCAGAAGGGCUAAUUUACAGAAAUUAGAGUAGCUCAGUCUCCCCCGUCUUACUCACCCGAGAGACUGUGAAUCUUGUCAGAUAACAGUUUUUUGAUUUGGAUAAUUUAAUGUUGUGCAUCAUAAUACUAAUUACAAGCCGGUCUGAGGGUACAUUAGAGAUCUCCAGGUAGACUUGGGGCUAGAAGCUGAUCUAAUGGGCAUCUACAGCAGACAGACAACAGGACUCUAACUCACAUUCCUGAUUCACCAACUUAUGUACAUGUCUAUCCGCAAUCACAACUCCAGGAUGUUCUCUGGAGUCCAAGUAUCAGAUGUUUCGGAAAGCAGUACGGGAGCAGCGCUGCAUGCAAAACAGGAGAUUUCCUCCCUUCAGCCCUUUAAUCUCUCAGUCUUCUAUACCAAGAAUAAAUACAAAGUUAACUAGACACUCUGGCAGUCCUCCAAGAAUAAGUAAACUGAGAAUUAUAUCUUGUUGCAGGCGAAAGAGACUUCUAUAUGGAUACAAAUAGAUUUGGAAAGCAUACGUUUUUCGACUCACAAUAUGCCACCAGGCAAAAAGACUCAUCCUGAAGAAGCUAAUGGACCGAAUUAAAACAUGCAAUCUGUGACUCCAGAGAACACGGGUUCUCUGCGGGGAAGCAAACCCCAAGCUCUAUCUUGAGGCAGCCUGUCAUAACAAAGAGCUGAGCCGUGCUACUUGCCAACUGCUCUUCGCUGGUCCCCAGCUUCUCUUUCAGCGCAGACAUCAUAGCAGGCAGGAUGACACCCAAGUGCCGUGUCAGCGCGUCCCCUGCCACCGACGAGAGGAAAGCCAGCACACGGGUGUUCACUGGGGGGGUAGUCAGCUAAGAAAGAGAAAAGCCCAAAAUUAUGAGACAAGCAGAAAGUUUUUUCAGAAGGAAUCUCACUUCAUCCACACCAUGAAAAAUGUCUAAAUAUAAACACAUGACAACCCAGAUGACAAUAUUUUGAGCACAAAAUCGGAAGAAAAUUUCAAACUAUGCUCUUCCUUUUGGCAUAACAGUCCAAAGAAAACUGGCAGCAAGCCGAGGAAAAAGCACAGCUCUGAAGUUUAAAAUUUGUUUCCAAUUUUACCUUUGGCACCAAAUAAGGCAGCACCACACGGCUCUUGACAGCCAUUACUUGUUUAAGACCAUCCACAGCAAAGUCAGAUGUCUCUUCAUUAUCCUACAGGGAAAGAGAAAGUCACAAACCUGAGAGAUGAUUCGUGACACAGCAAGUGAAACCACAUUUCAAGUGACAAUUUGUCAUGAGAUCACAUCACCAACACACAAGUCCUUCUAUCCAAAAUGCUCUCAUAUUAUCUAGCAAAAACCCAGACCAAGCUCUUCUGUCACAUUAGGAAGAUUUUCUGUGUGAGGAAUGAUGGCCAAGCAACUCAGGCAGGUGAUGAUGGCAAUUCCCGAGCAGAGCCAGGGGGAGGAAUCCGCAGGCCUGUGCUUCAGCCAUGAGACCUUCCCUACCGAUGGCUCCAUGGAGGAGGCAAAAUAGAACAGCCAUUCCCUGGAAGGUCUGCCACUACAAUCCUGCUUCUCCUUUAAACCAGUUAUUCAAAACCUGUCGCACAACAUCACUAAUUGAGCUGCUGACUAAUGCUGAGCAAUGCUUACCAGCUGCUUCAGCAAAAAUGGCAGGAUAUCUUCAAGAGCUUGAUGGCCAAUUGUUGAGUGCAACUGUUCGAAUGUUUUAGCUGCAGCCUCUCGGACUUCUUCCAGAGGGUCACAGAGCGCUUUUCUCACUGUAGGAACCAGGGAUUCGGAGAAAAGCAGUACCUGAAGAUGCAGAGAUAGAAUUGCAGAAUGUCUAAAGCACAACAGACAGAUGCAUCUCAGUAAAGUAGCUAACAAUGCAGAAUUUGCACAACUGAAACUAAAUUGCAGUUUGCUUGAAAUAUAUUGGAAGAAAAGCAGGAUUAAUCAAUACAAGUAGUUGCAGAGCUUUAAGGCUACCUAGAGGAUUAUUUCUAUUAUUAUAUCUCAUAAAAGUCAGAACUGGGCAAUGUUUUAAAUUUACCGACAGACACACAAAUGCUUACAUUUUCCUGAACAACAGCUCACGUUAGUUAUAAGCCCUGAGUUCAGUCCAUAAACCAAGUCCGGCACAGCUGUAUUAUUCUGUCUCAACUGCAAUACCUGCGCCAUAACAUAGAUACCUCAGAAAACGGAGAUUUCCCCUUCCACAUUUAACUCACCGCAUCCCUGCUGGUGGAUUUCAUUAUCUCGCUCAACCCAAUGCAGACUCCUUGCCUCUCAUCACUCUUGUCUGACCUCAGUCCUUCUUCCAGAAUAGGAAUGAUCUCAGGAAGGAUCUUCUCUCCUAACUUUCGGACAAGGUCUCCUAAUGUCCGUGCUGCAACCUGUCCCCAGAAAUUAAUUAACUAUUUUUCCGUUUUAUAAACUUAAGAAGAUGAACUGUGAGCAAAUAUUAACUUUUGACCAUAAACCACUGUUCACAGUAUAGACAGAGUAGCAGGAAUGGAAAUAACUACUGUUGUAAGUAACCAUAGCAAAAUGGUUUUACUGUCAUCACAGUUGCCGUCAGCAAAGAGAGAACUCAGACAUACUCAUGGUUUAAUUAAUUGUUAAAUUAAUGACAGCUUUGGAGUGAUUUAUAGGAAAGAAUUACCCUGUGUUCUUCAGAAAUGAGAGCACACAGUCACCUGCAGUAACGGGAAGGCAUUACUCAGUUUCUCACCGUUCGCUUAUCUGCACAAGUACUGGCCAAGAAUUUCAGCAGAAGCCCGAAGAGGGUUGGCAAAAUUUCACGCAGCGUGCGAGGAGUGUUUGAGACCACGAUCUUCCAGACGUGCAGGGAGGCCUGACGCACCACCAGCUGGGUGUCGGAGCGGCCCAUGUACAGGCCUGCCAGCACCCUGUUCCUCCUCUCCACACCCAGAGCACUAAUAAUAGCCUGCAAAGAAAUAGCACACAAUUGUAUUAUCCACUCCUGAAACUUACAAUAAGAACACGACACACGAUUACCCAAUUUGCCUUUCCAUCAGGGUUUCCAUGCUGCAAAAUUAAACAAAAAGGCACCAACAGACACAAACAGCUUUACCUUGUUGGACUGGGCUGUUCCGAAGUUGUCAUCCUCUGAGGCAGUUUCUGUGGUCAUUUUUCCAGUGACUCCUGAGAUAUGGAACAGAAGAUCUCCAAGCAGCUGAACUGAGCUAAACCUGGUAACGGGAGCAAGUCAAGUGUUACAAACGGGGUAAUUCAGGCGAUACCUGUCCAAAUAUGACAGUAUGUCAAAAUCAGACAGGAGCAAAAUGCAGGGCAAAGAGCUGGGUCAGCACCAAAACGCUGCAUGGGCUGGUACGUCAGAGCAGUCUGCCCACACCACCGAGGAGCUGCAUGCUAAAAAGAAAGGGAAGGAACAAAUUCCAAGCUGGUAGGGGCUGAGAGAAUUCCUGUAUCAAAGCAAUGAAUCACGGAAUAGCCUGGACUCUACAAAGGAUUGAGACACCAGCAUGGGUCUCAAUCCUGGGGAUCCUCACCUGGGAUAGGUGUGCUCAUCAGCGCUCAGCUGACACAAACUUUUUAGUACAGCUAAUUUUUGAGCCAUUGCUACCAGCUGUGAGCACUCUACUGCACAUUUCCAUGCACAGGAGAACAAUAUCUUACUCAGCAUUUUGAAAAACGAAAAACAAUAUAGGAGAGCUAAAUAUUGCCACAUCAACUGCCUUGGAAGUGUUUUUUGGAGUCACUACCAGAAUUAAUGAUUUUGUAGGAAUGUGCUGCAGGUACCAGGAAACCUGAUCUACGGCUGGUAGGGCUUUGCGGGCUCAGUGCUAGGAGGCGUCAUAUUCAAAUCAACAAGCAAAAAGAGAGACUUGCUUUUCCGUCCCAGGAGAUCUCUGCAUUUGCUUGAGGAGCAACAGAGUUGAAAUCACACCAGUUUUCCAACCACGGAAGAGAACUGUCUGGGGGUGAGGUGGUUUUCUUUUACCUUAUCCUCCACAAGUCAUCAAACAGGCCGUCCUCGAGCUGCGGCAGGAGAAGCGCAAUGGCAGUCUCGGCGUACAUACUUAUGAUCCUCUGGCCAGCGCGCAGGGCCGUGUCCCGCACAAACUCAUUCUCGUCUGCCAGUGCCUGAACAGGGAGAAAAGUGUCUGUGAAACUUUGGGGGUUUUUAAGCACAAUACAAAAAAACAGGUGGAGGAAAACAAAAUGAUGUUUUUUCUCUCAGCCAUGAAAAGUAAAUGAAUGAUGGAGUUGUGAAUGCACAAAGGUGAUUUCAAGAAAUUACUUGUGACUACAAACAGAAGACAGCAAGCAAAUCACUUGGAACACAAAAUAAUUUAUAAUUUAAAUUCUUUUACAUUUUGUACAGUCCAAAGCUGGACAAGUUUCUGCAUGUCUCACAAUUACUGUAAAUGAUGCUUAAAAUACUCUAGAGCAUUAUUUUUAUCCUCUAAUAAAUAAAACUCCUACGCACCUUAAGGAUACAAGGAAUGAUGGGACCAACAUAGGGAGUGAACUUGUCUCCAAAAGUAAUUGGCAGGUAGUUGAACAUCAUGAUAUAACCGUCUCGUACAUGAGGAGCAAUAUCCACUUUACUGGCAGUAGCUACAAUCUCUGGCAUAAGUUUCUCCAGCUUUUCUACUCCCAAACCAGCCAUAACUUCAGCCAGACCUGGGGAAAAAAAGCAGGUAACACAGCUGAGAAACACAAAAAAGAACAAGCUAAUCUGAUUUAACAUGAGAAAGCUUGAGCUCAGUAUUCAGCCACAGCUCUCCUCACCUUGAGCAGCACCAGAUCGAUCCACUGAGCUCUGCUCAUAUGUCAGUGUCUCCAUCAGCCAUGGCAACAAAUCCUCAAAGCACGAUUCUCCCAUCCCCUUCACCAUGGCUCCCAGCGCCUUUGCCGACACCGUACGCACCUGACAGACAAGAGGAACGGAGAGCUGCAAAAUAUCCUGUCAAAUUCACUAAGACAGAUGUGUCAGACUGAUUACAGACCUACGGAAACUCGGGACAAAGUCUGACCUAAUGCACUGCAAUACAAAUGGUAUUUGUACAAAGGACGUACUUCAGGUACAGGAUCCAGCAGAGAUGCCUUCAGGCCGGGGGUCACACUGGGCAGGUAAGGAGCCAGAUCCUGAAACAAAGAGCUCAAAGAGUAAGAACCAGAUUCAAAACGAGAAAGAAACUGAAGUCACCUUCAUGUAAAGGGCAUUCAGCCCCUUAUUACUAGCAACGAUCCUCAAAAUCCUGAGAGAUUAAUCAGUUGCUUUCACAAUCUUGCAAACACUGAAUUGUUCUGCAAGUCCAGGAAACACCAGUUCUGUGCAGACCACUCAAAACCUUUUUUAUGCUCACCCACAAGCUAGAGCCUUGGAUCUAAGGAAAAUCCAACACUAUUAACAUUUACACAAGGUUUAAAGGUAGAGAUUAUCAGCACCAAAAUUAAACACAGAUCUUUAGCCUACAGCGAGGUUGUACAAAUGCUUUUCAAACAAACCUUGGAUCCAUUUGUAAGCAGCUGAUCUGUGUUUCACUGGUUCUGGUUUUGCUUGUUUGUUUGUUAAGGCAUUUCUUAUAUGGUAAAAAUUACACGACCUUUUUGCAGGGAUAAAUCUGGUAAUAACUAGAUGACCAAAGUACAAAGCUGACAGUCUUAAGCACCUAAGAGUUGUCACGGUGUAGCCAUUAUUUAUUCAUUUACAUACAUUUGAUUAAAGAAGCUUUGUGGAUUCUAAUAUUGUUUAUCUUAACAGCAAAAUCCCCAAACCAAAUAAAUUCUCCCUAGUGCUUGCUCUGUGAUCUCCUACACAGCAUACACAGCACACAGAGAGAAUUCUUAGCCCCAUACCUUCUGAUCAGUCAGGGAGUACAUGUUCCCAAUGAUCUGGGCAGCCAUCUUCCUGGUGUCUGUGGAACGAUCUUGAAAAGCUCUCUGGACAAUCGGCAUGAUCAGCGCUAAGGAUGGAGCAUCAAUGAAAUGGACAAAUUUGGUAUCCAGUAGAGUCUGCAGGCACUUCUGGGUCUUCCUGGAGGGGUCAGUGAGAGCAUCCAACAGAACUGGAGCGAUUGCUGAACAUUUUAAAAAAGGAAAGAAAAGACUUUAUUCGUACAUAAAACAAAACCACGUGUCAGGGUGAGCUGGUGUUCUCUCACGGGAUACUGUAGAUCCUUCUAAAGGAGCCAGAAGGAGAAGGACGGGGGCAACCCUCUUAGCAUCAGCUGUCAACAUGGACAGGAGGAUUCAAAAAGCUUUGAAGCAGACAGCUGCUGUUAAGCUUUCAUGUCACUUUUCUAGGAGAAGUUUCAUUUCUAUAGAAGCCUGGAUUUAAUCCUCAAGGUUGUGAACAUAAACCUUGCUGUUAUAAACCAUGGUCACAUCAGGACAUCAAAUACGCCAACGGUUCUCACCCAGGAUCUCUGGAUUCCUGAUGACAGACCCAAUCUGCCGCAGAGCUUGCUGUCCCGCGUUCUGCACCUUCACGUGGGAAUCCGUGAGCACUUCAGUCAGUUUGGGCACAAUAUUGGGCAAGCAGGAAGAGAGCUGUUUGGGAGCACAGUACGCCAUAGCCCCCAGCAGUUCCACCGAUCCUGUGCAGGAAGGACACAAAAAAGAAAGAAAAACAGAAAACAAUCAAUACACACCAUUAAAAAGAGGUAUGAGGAGAUGAUCUCAUUUUCUCAAACUCAAACCUAGCAGCUGGAGGACACACGGAAUGUCUGAAAUGCAUUAAACUACUCUCUGCCUCUUAAA
Molecule: long non-coding RNA, 7778 nt
Organism: Columba livia (rock pigeon)
Lineage: Eukaryota; Metazoa; Chordata; Aves; Columbiformes; Columbidae
Exons: 2
Source: RefSeq, a predicted model, not a curated record